RNAcentral lists this ribosomal RNA (178 nucleotides) under uncultured Sphingomonas sp. Its description in RNAcentral is "partial 16S ribosomal RNA". It matches the Rfam family "Bacterial small subunit ribosomal RNA", at positions 334 to 526 of the family's 1533-position model. Lineage: Bacteria; Pseudomonadati; Pseudomonadota; Alphaproteobacteria; Sphingomonadales; Sphingomonadaceae. The record is from RNAcentral.
UACUCCUACGGGAGGCAGCAGUGGGGAAUAUUGGACAAUGGGCGAAAGCCUGAUCCAGCAAUGCCGCGUGAGUGAUGAAGGCCUUAGGGUUGUAAAGCUCUUUUAUCUCCGGGAAUGAUAAUGACUGUACCGGGAGAAUAAGCUCCGGCUAACUCCGUGCCAGCAGCCGCGGUAAUAC